AUUGAGGACCAGGGUCGCGCCGAGAGGCCGGAGGGGGCUCCAGGCAGCCUGGAGCUGACGGCGCCGGGCUGCGUCCUCUUCACCUGGGGGUGGGGGGUGGGGGCACGUACUUUGUGACCAGGAUGGUGCCGAGCCCCCUCUACGGCGGGAGCUUGCAGGGGUGCGGGGGUGUGACUGGCGCUCCGCGGACUCGUGUCCACAGUACAGAGGACAUGUAGGGUUCGGCCGGGGCGCGGCUGCACCGGGGCCUGCCUCGCGGACCUGGACUCGGGACUCCGGGCGGCCCUGCCUGGUGCCAUUGCCUCAGCCAAGUCUCCCACCUCUCUGCUCGGUUUCCCGCCCCACCUUUCCCCUACUACCGCAUCCCUGUCCCCUCGCUUCCCUCCGCGAUGUCUCCAUCCGAGUAAGAAACGAAGCUGAACGCAUUGGUAACUGUGCUCAAGAAGAUGCAAUCGCGGGAGCCCUCAGGGUGGCGCACGGCGGAGAGGCGACGCGGGUGGCGCUGCAGAGGCGUCCCCACCCCCUCCGGGGACCGGGGCCCCGGAGCUGCCAGGCCCGCUGCACGCGGCGGCGCGGGAGAAACCACGGGGCAGCAGCGCCCCCUGCAGGUGCCGGGCGCCUCCGCAGCCGCUGCGCGGACCCGACUCUUAAGGUGGCACCACCGGGUUCCCAGCCCGCGCGCAACCCGCAGCCCUGGCUCCAUCCGCCGCACUUCUCCCUGUAGCGGCGGGCCUGACCGUCCGGAACGGCCGGAGUGUGCUGAUGCCUGCUGCUAUCUGCUUGAUCCCUUCACCCUACCUCUCAUCCAGGACUUCUUCCGCGGAUGCGCAGCUAGCGAUUUCGACAGGCGAGAUUGAAAAUUCCGGGCGAGUAUAUGAGGUUGAGUAAGUCCCGCUUCAGGGAGGAACGACCAGAAUGACAUUUCUUUAAGCCUAAAUCAAACUUUUAUUUUCGUUUAUAAAAAGCAGAAGGCCAGCAGGAAAGGGUCGCGGAGGACUGGCACAUCCACAACCGUAGGACUCUUGGAUCCAAGUUUUUAGGCUGAGACUGGGCGGUCCGGGGUUCUCCUUCGGCGCUCACACCCCGCAAACUCGUGGGCAGUGCAGUGCUGGAGGCCGGGGGCAGUGGCGGACCCGCAGGGUAACCUUGUCUCGCGCACCUCCCGAGCCCCCAGCAGCCCACUCUCGUCCGAAUGCUUUGUUUAUUUGGUGACACCAGGGAACGUGGAGAAGAAGAUCGAAGUUCAGUUUUUCUUUUUUCUUUAUUUUAAAUAUUUUUCUUAACUAAAUGGUAUGUUUAUGUGAACCCAUCAUCUCUUGGAAUUAAGUGUCCUCAGCGAACUCCAGAUUCCUAGGGGAAACCUACGUGCCCAGAGCAGGAAACGCACAAGUCAAUUCAGGUUCCGGUGCCAUCCGCAGUAAAUUCCCUUCCUUUUGCUCCAAAUUCCUCCUCUGCGUCCAGGAGAGGGACCCCCGGGACUCCCGCACACCCAGGACCGGGAGCGGCAGAGCAGAGGGCGGGUGCGAGGGCGCGAGGGAAGGGAGGCGGCCUGCGGACCUGGGGCGCGCAGUUUCCCGGCUCCGUGGGAACCUCCAACCCCGGGGCGCGCGGCCUAGGCUCCGCCCUGCCAGGCUUGGGGCCGAGCGGCCCACCUAGUGGGUCCUGACCUGGGGAAGCCGAGUCCGCGCGCGGGUCGGGCCGCGACGAGGGAAGCUCGCCUGGGCAAGUGCCGCGCGGGGUCAGACCCACCCCAGGGGUUGCAAACCGCAAGCGAAAGUCGAGAGGGGCUGGAGCUUUCCCUCUGAUCCGUUUUACACUGUGAAAACCGCAGGCCUGUCGCCUAGGCGGCCACUUUUAAAUUGGGAAGCAAAUAGACGAAAAACCAAAACAAACGUACGAGCUGACUUUUCCCAGCUAAGUUUCCCCUCAAUAAAAAGCCCGCUUUCUGGGAAAGACAGAAACUGAUCCGCGCUCACGAUUGCUUUCUUGGAGAUUCUGGGGGCACUGGGGCGCGCAGGAGGCGCGGCGACAACCCCAGCGCGCAUGGGGCAGCCUGGACUGUGCCCCUCUUACCAAGCUCCUUCCCAGGCUUCUCCGUGCUUCUCUCUCCACUGGGGUCCCGCCUCUCCACGGGUCACGCCGAGGCUAUAUGCUGCUUGCAAGGGGUCCGCGCUUUCUCGUUCGGCGGGAAAGGCACAUGUUGGAGCUCGAUGUUGGGGCUCAGGGUGUGGUUGAUUUGUCUGCUGAUCUGGGUUUCUUCCCAGCACCGGGCAGGAAGUGUAGGAGUUUGGGUCGCCAGUCCAGGGACUCGGGAAACUUCCAGGCCAACCAGAAGAAACACUUGCAGACACCUUUCGAAUGUCACAGUUUUCCCCAGGGGAAAAAGCAGAAGUUGCUGGGCACAUCACCCAGCACCCGGGCAAACUCUCCACUUACCUCGCGCCCUGCUAGGGGGUGUUGGGGGCCCUCCGGGAACCCCUAGAUGAGCAAGCAAAGUUGCAAGAAGUGGGGUGGGGAACGCUCACCCGAUAAACCAUGCACCAAACUUAAUCAGCCUGUAAUGCUUACUCUAAAUCUAGGCCCAUCUAGGCCAGGUGGGCUGAGUCUUGGGAUAGUGGGUGUCUCCUUCCUAUGUUGAUACAUUAAGGAUUCCAUAUGGACAAUUAUUUUUAGUCAAAUUUGUGGUCCUGGAGAUAGAAAGAGGAGAAGAAGAGAGAAGAAAGACAGAAGAGCUUUAUUGUUCUUUUUUUUUUUUUUUUUUUUUUGAGAUGGAGUCUCGCCCUGUUGUCCAGGCUGGAGUACAGUGGCGCCAUCUUGGCUAACUGCAACCUCCACCUCCCCGGUUCAAGCAAUUCUCCUACCUCAGCCUCCUGAGUAGCUGGGACUACAGGCAGCCGCCACCAUGACCAGCUAAUUUUUUUUUUUACUUUUAGUAGAGAUGGGGUUUCACCAUGUUAGCCAGGAUGGUCUCGAACUCCUGACCUUGUGAUCCGCCCACCUCAGCCUCCCUAGGUGCUGGGAUUACAGGCGUGAGCAACCACCCGGCCUUAUUGUUCUUAUAUUAAAACAAAAGAACCUAGAAAAAAUUGCUUGGUUAAAUUGUAGAGAGGAAGGGAGGGAAGGAAAAUGAAGGCUUUUCUUCUUUGUUCUUUAAAAGUCCAAGCACUUUCUUUCAGAAUCAAAAUGUAGAGAGGCAGUCAGUCUUGGAGCAUGCUUUUGCAUUUUAGGAUACUACUCAUUAAUUCAGUUUUAAAGCAUUCACUGGGUUGAGCACAAUUUUAAAAAGGUUCUGACUCACCCAGAUCCUGUUUGAAGCUCAACUCAUUUUGAUUGAAAGAGAUUUGAGACAAGAAUUUCAGAAGAGAAAAAUGUGUGUUACACCUGGACAUAUAUACACAUGUAACAGGGAUUGUAUUCCUUCUAGUCUAAGACAAGAGAUUCUAUGGUAAAUUAUUUAAAAAAAUUAGUUUUUUUUCUAGCAUUGUAUUGUCACCAGAAAGAAGAGUGCUGAAUUCUCUGUUUCUGCAUUUCCCAAUAAUAAAUCUCCUAGGAGAGAUAACUUUUUGCAGUUGUGCCCCCCACCCAUUUUCUCUGUGGCUUGCUUUAUUUCCCACAUAUGAAUACACACACAGCAGAUACAUCAUGCACAAACUUUUUUUAAUGUGUAAUCUGUAAAUCUAGGCCCAUUAAGUUUUCAUUGAAGUUGGGAAACUGUUGAGGACUUACUUUUGUUCUUCACCAUGCGUGCACUUUGCCAAGGAUCUUUGGUAACCAAUAAAACGAUCAUGUUCACUCUGAA
This is a long non-coding RNA of Homo sapiens (human), 3799 nucleotides long. Ensembl annotates it as MIR1915 host gene. The record is from Ensembl. NCBI's taxonomy places the organism in Eukaryota, Metazoa, Chordata, Mammalia, Primates, Hominidae.